GACGAACGCUGGCGGCGUGCCUAAUACAUGCAAGUCGAGCGAAGCGGCGGAUGGGUGCGUAUCGCGUGGGUAACCUGCCCUUAAGUCUGGGAUACCAUUUGGAAACAGAUGCUAAUACCGGAUACUAAAGGAUUGACCUGCGGUGCAUUAGCGAGUUGGUAAGGUAACGGCUUACCAAGGCGAUGAUGCAUAGCCGAGUUGAGAGACUGAUCGGCCACAUUGGAACUGAGACACGGCCCAAACUCCUACGGGAGGCAGCAGUAGGGAAUCUUACACAAUGGACGAAAGUCUGAUGGAGCAACGCCGCGUGAGUGAAGAAGGUUUUCGGAUCGUAAAGCUCUGUUGUUGGGGAAGCGGUAAUCAACCAGAAAGUCACGGCUAACUACGUGCAAGCAGCCGCGGUAAUAC
Molecule: ribosomal RNA, 408 nt
Filed under: uncultured bacterium
Lineage: Bacteria
Description: partial 16S ribosomal RNA
Rfam family: Bacterial small subunit ribosomal RNA
Source: RNAcentral